Molecule: ribosomal RNA, 468 nt
Filed under: uncultured bacterium
Lineage: Bacteria
Description: partial 16S ribosomal RNA
Rfam family: Bacterial small subunit ribosomal RNA
Source: RNAcentral
GACGAACGCUGGCGGCGUGCUUAACACAUGCAAGUCGAACGGACAGGCCCUGCUUUUGUGGGGUGCUCGAGUGGCGAACGGGUGAGUAACACGUGAGUAACCUGCCCUUGACUUUGGGAUAACUUCAGGAAACUGGGGCUAAUACCGGAUAGGAGCUCCUGCUGCAUGGUGGGGGUUGGUAAGUUUCGGCGGUUGGGGAUGGACUCGCGGCUUAUCAGCUUGUUGGGGGGGUAGUGGCUUACCAAGGCUUUGACGGGUAGCCGGCCUGAGAGGGUGACCGGCCACAUUGGGACUGAGAUACGGCCCAGACUCCUACGGGAGGCAGCAGUGGGGAAUAUUGCACAAUGGGCGGAAGCCUGAUGCAGCAACGCCGCGUGCGGGAUAACGGGCUACGGGUUGUAAACCGCUUUCGCCUGUGACGAAGCGUGAGUGACGGUAAUGGGUAAAGAAGCACCGGCUAACUACGUG